Molecule: unclassified non-coding RNA, 253 nt
Filed under: uncultured Sphingomonadaceae bacterium
Lineage: Bacteria; Pseudomonadati; Pseudomonadota; Alphaproteobacteria; Sphingomonadales; Sphingomonadaceae
Description: contains 16S-23S intergenic spacer region
Rfam family: Bacterial small subunit ribosomal RNA
Source: RNAcentral
UACGGAGGGGGCUAGCGUUGUUCGGAAUUACUGGGCGUAAAGCGCGCGUAGGCGGCUUUCCAAGUCAGAGGUGAAAUCCCGGGGCUUAACCCCGGAACUGCCUUUGAAACUGGAUCGCUAGAAUAUCGGAGAGGUGAGUGGAAUUCCGAGUGUAGAGGUGAAAUUCGUAGAUAUUCGGAAGAACACCAGUGGCGAAGGCGACUCACUGGACGAUUAUUGACGCUGAGGCGCGAAAGCGUGGGGAGCAAACAGG